This is a long non-coding RNA of Acanthochromis polyacanthus (spiny chromis), 4460 nucleotides long. RefSeq lists it as uncharacterized. Lineage: Eukaryota; Metazoa; Chordata; Actinopteri; Pomacentridae. The transcript is spliced from 3 exons. The record is from RefSeq and is a predicted model, not a curated record.
AAUACAAAUAAAGCUCAGCAUAUGCAUCAUAAAGAGCCUCUGAUAAAAUAUAGGCAGUUGACAAUUCAAAAGAGGUAGGCAUUUCAUCAACUUACCUCCACAUAUACUCAACAACCUGCAGUGCAAAUGAACGGUGGCUAUCACUGUCGAAGCGGUGCUUGGAACUAAACAAGCCUCCACAACCCGGAAAUAGACCGAAAGAAAGCGUACAACGGCACCCUAUGGGAGUGUCGCAACUCUUAUUAUCUCUUGGGCUCUGAUUCAACUCUUACACUCGCCCAGCCUGCCGCCUCCCCGUACCGUGGAUCUGCGCCUGCGUAGUGCGCCCCAACCCGGGAGAUGGAGAGCAACUGCUCCAGAGAACCUAACCGGAGGAAAACACCGAGCACACACCGGAGCUCGCCGGACACCCGGCGGGACCAGCGUCGGCCGAAGGGUCGGGGUGGGAGCACCGGGAGCCCGACUGUCUGUCUGCCUGCAGACGGUGAGACACAGCGGGACGAAGCGGCAGCAACGCUGCUCCUCACGACGGGGAAACACUGAAUCACUGCUGCAGUCAUCGCUGCGCCUUAAAUCCUGCUUUUUCUCUACGGACAUUUGAAUGGAAGGUGAGUUCAACCAGCCGAGGCAGCGGGCCUGCAGAGGACGAUCGGUGUCCUCAGCGUCUGCCUUCAUCAUAUCCUCCUAUCUGUCCCACUGUUUAUCCUCCUGUCCUCAUGGUGUCAGUCCUUCACCUGACAGGCUGAACCCAGGCACAGCAGCACGAAAGAGAAGAGACAUUGUGUGGACAUAACGUUUCCUGUGAAACCUUUGCAUCAAACAUCUGGAGGACAUACAGGGACAAAUAAAACAUCUGGAGGAUUAAAGAGACAAAUAAAACAUCUGGAGGACUACAAAGACAAAAAAAAACAUCUGGAGGACUACAAAGACAAACAUCUGGAGGACAUACAGAGACAAAUAAAACACCUGGAGAACGUAAAACACCUGGAGGACAUACAGAAGACACUGAGGGACAAAGCUGGACAUUUUGAGGUGGGAAACGCACAGAAACAAUUUUUCAGGACAUAAAGACAGACUUUCAGGGACAUAAACAGACAUUAGAAAUUCAAAAUACUGAGAAAUUACUGAACAGGUGAAGGACAAAGAGAAAGUAACAUUUUAGGACAAAAGGAGACAUAUACAGUGCCUUGCGAAAGUAUUCGGCCCCCUUGAACUUUUCAACCUUUCGCCACAUUUCAGAUAUGAAAUUUUAAUUUUUUGUCAAGAAUCAAAAAAAUUGGGACACAAUCAUGAAGUGGAAUGAAAUUUAUUGGAUAUUUUAUAUUUUUUUUAACAAAAACCUGAAAAGUGGGGUGUGCAAUAUUAUUCGGCCCCUUUACUUUCAGUGCAGCAAACUCACUCCAGAAGUUCAGUGAGGAUCUCUGAAUGAUCCAAUGUUGUCCUAAAUGACUGAUGAUGAUAAAUAAAAUCCACCUGUGUGUAAUCAAGUCUCCGUAUAAAUGUACCUGCUCUGCGAUAGUCUCAGGGUUCUGUUUAAAGUGCAGAGAGCAUCAUGAAGACCAAGGAACACACCAGGCAGGUCCCAGAUACUGUUGUGGAGAAGUUUAAAGCCGGAUUUGGAUACAAAAAAAUUUCCCAAGCUUUAAACAUCUCAAGGAGCACUGUGCAAGCAAUCAUAUUGAAAUGGAAGGAGUAUCAAACCACUGCAAAUCUACCAAGACCCGGCCGUCCCUCUAAACUUUCACCUGGAACAAGGAGAAGACUGAUCAGAGAUGCAGCCAAGAGGCCCAUGAUCACUCUGGAUGAACUGCAGAGAUCUACAGCUGAGGUGGGAGAGUCUGUCCAUAGGACAACAAUCAGUGGUACACUGCACAAAUCUGGCCUUUAUGGAAGAGUGGCAAGAAGAAAGCCAUUUCUCAAAGAUAUCCAUAAAAAGUCUCGUUUGAAGUUUGCCACAAGCCACCUGGGAGACACACCAAACAUGUGGAAGAAGGUGCUCUGGUCAGAUGAAACCAAAAUGGAACUUUUUGGCCACAAUGCAAAACCAUAUGUUUGGCGUAAAAGCAACACAGCUCAUCACCCUGAACACACCAUCCCCACUGUCAAACAUGGUGGUGGCAGCCUCAUGGUUUGGGCCUGCUUUUCUUCAGCAGGGACAGGGAAGAUGGUUCAAAUUGAUGGGAAGAUGAAUGGAGCCAAAUACAGGAGCAUUCUGGAAGAAAACCUGUUGGAGUCUGCUAAAGACCUGAGACUGGGACGGAGAUUUAUCUUCCAACAGGACAAUGAUCCAAAACAUAAAGCCAAAUCUACAAUGGAAUGGUUCACAAAUAAACGUAUCCAGGUGUUAGAAUGGCCAAGUCAAAGUCCAGACCUGAAUCCAAUGGAGAAUCUGUGGGCAGAGCUGAAGACUGCUGUUCAAACGCUCUCCAUCCAACCUCACUGAGCUCCAGCUGUGAAAGACAUCCUGUUUGGUAGAUGAGUUUAGUUGAAGGACAGUCUGUGAGGACAUGUGGAGGACAAGAAUGAGACAGCAGGACGCUGCUGUCGUCGGGAGGACAGAAUGAGAGUGUUGUUGGUCUGAAGGACGUUAUUUUUCCUUGCCCACAGUUUGGAUGUGACGAGGACUGAGAGAACAACAUGACGUCCCCGAAGUGGACCCGGCUCUCCGUCCUGUCGGUCCUGGUGCUGAUCCUGUGUCGGCAGCCUGCUCUGACAGGACCAUGGUAUCAGAGGAAUAUGUGGGCGCCACAGUGAACGCCACGGUGUUGGAUGGACGAGGAAACACCGUCCACAUGAUGAGCAGCGAUGAGGGGACGUAUGGACAGAACCCCCCAGAGUGUUUGCCCUCUGAGGUGUCAGAUUACAGUCAAACGUCCAAGGACACUGCAGCUGUUGGAGCUUCGUUUGUCUGCAGUCGUCUUGAUGCGCUUCUGCCUGUUCACAUCAAUAGCUGGGUUUCCAUUACCCUUAGAUUUGCGCAAAAUGUAAAUAGCGCAAAAAAAAAACUGGUAAUGGAAACACCUGAAUUUCAAAAAAGGACUAAAAUAUUGCAAAAAAGUUUUUACGCUCUCAUGAGGUGGUUUUUCAGACGUUUCGAUAUUGAAAAAUAUCGCAAAAGCGCAAUGGAAACACUUUUUCCGCAAUUAUACAUCACCGGAUGUGACGUACCUGGUCACAUGACCAGUUCUCUCGGCGUAAACAUGGCGCGGUGCGUGUGGACAGAAGAGGAGACCGAGACGUUUUUUAACAUUAUUUUUGAGAAAAACAUCACUGUCAUACUUGACAGCAAACAGCAGAGGAAUGCAGAGUUUUAUAAGGAGAUAGAAGCGGAAAUGAGGGAGAAAGGAUUCGACAAGCCUUGGCAGCAAAUGGAAAACUCUAAAGCAACGCUACCUAGCAGAACGACGCCUAUUGUGCAAAAGCGGAGCCGGGGGGAAGGCAAAGAUUAAGUUUAAGUACUUCGAUGCCAUGAACAGAAUUUUGGGACAUCGCCCCCAUCUUGCAAGCAGUGUCCUCAACAAUUAACAGUAUGGAAGCUGAAGCAGACGGCAAGGAACCAAAUCGGGAGACUUCUACGGAUUCGGAGGGAUCAUUUGAUGUCUUGCCCUCAUCACCCCAUGAUGACACUUGAUGUGUCAGAGAUGAGGGAGAUUCAUCCCAGCCUCCAGCCCCACCUCAAGAAACAUGGAGACGGCCAAAGAAGCGUCGACCCUCAGCUUCAUCACUGCACAUGAGCAAGAUGAGAGAACAAGCAAAACAGGAUCAGGCCACCCUCUCUACAAUUUCUGAGGUGCUCAGCCGAACAAUUCAGUGUUUUGAGAGGGCAAAAGAGGUGGCAGAGCGCCAUGCUCGUGCUCUGGAAGCGAUUGCUGAAGCACGGCCCCCUUUCCCCCAACAAACACCUCCAGCAUAUACUUCCUACUAACAAGAGUAGGAAGUAUAUGCCACCACCUCAAUCGCAUCGCCAGCAGCAGCCUCCUCCUGCCUCUUCCCAAGACCAUCCCCAUUCUUACAGAACAUACCGCAGUUUGUAGGUCUAAGUUCCCACAUUGCCAGGUUCAUUAGUUUGAUGAUAUUAUUAGUAUCUGUUUACAAUUAAUUUCAUCAUGUUCUAAGUUAGUCCACAGAAUUAAAAAAACAUUUUAACUGAUGUGUCACUUUACAAAAACAGCCUCAAGUUUUGAUUGCUGUUAUGUUUUUUGUUUUUAAUGGCAGCACAUACAAAGGACAUUGAAAAGGCACUUUUUGAAGUCAGACAGUAAAAAAUAUUCUUUCAGAGAAUUUUGAAACAAGCUUUAAAAAAAUGUAGCUGUUGCUGUGGUGCUCAUGUUUUUCUGUGAAAUCUCAGGUUAUAUAUGGAGACUUUUUUUAAUCUCUGAAAAGCACUUUAUAAGACAAAAAUGUUUUGACAAUUCUGUGUGAAAGCACACCUUAAACUUGAAAUAAACUAUUGUUCUAUG